Molecule: long non-coding RNA, 2105 nt
Filed under: Eucalyptus grandis
Lineage: Eukaryota; Viridiplantae; Streptophyta; Magnoliopsida; Myrtales; Myrtaceae
Description: long non-coding RNA (EGRA_LNC007839)
Source: RNAcentral
CCCGAGCAACGAACGGAGGGGAAGACAGAGGUGCCGACGGCGGCCGGAAUGGGUGAGGGAGAGGCGGAGAGCGAGCGCGCACGGCCGAGGAGCAGCGACGGCGUGCGGCGUGAGGUGGCGACGACGGUCUUGGCUCCGGCACGGCUGUAGCCCUUCAACGCAACUGACCUCUGUUUCUGCUUCUGCUUUGUUCGAACAAGAAGGGCGGAAGAGAGAGAGACGAAGCUGUGCACGGGCAGCAGGACGGCGGACAGCAGCGACUCUGGCUCCGGUUGCUUGUUGCAUCGACGCCGAGAGGAAUCGCUACUUCGGCCUGCUGGUUCGCUGAUCUUCAGCUUCCAUGGAGUCUUGAAGAAAAAGAAGAAGAUGGGGGAUGCAUUCGGUCGACGGAGGGGAGAGGGAGAAGAAGAGAAAACCAAUUUCUCAUUUUCCUCUCACACUCUCUCUCUCUUAGGUCAGCCAUACGUGGGCCACCAUCAGCUGUCAUCCACUCCUCAUUUUUGACAAUUAUGCCCCCUUCUAGAAGCAUUUAGGUUGGCCAAAAUGUGGGGGUAUGUGUGGCAUACGAAUUUGCUAGGUUUUCUUUCUAAUUGAGCCUUAAUUCCUCUUGAAUUAAAUCAAAUUGACCCCCAUUAAUUUAUUCAACACCUCAUCAUUCCAAUUGGUAUUUUUCCUUACCAACGUAGCUCCACUUGCAUCCCAAUUUCACAAUCCUUGGCUUCAACCGAACAAAAGCGGCCCUAUUAUCCAGUCAAAAUUAGGACCCGAAAAUCUGGACGUCACAACUCUUCCCCUCUUACAAAAAUUUCGUCCUCGAAAUUUAAACUUUUACCAAUCCUUAUACAAAAGGUGAGGGAAUUGUCGUCUCAUCGAGCCUCACUGCUUUCCACGCUAAUCCUUCAGUCUCAUGGUGCUGUCCGACCAUUUUGAUUAAGGAGAUCAUCUUGGUACAUAAACUCUGCUCUUUCUGAACCAACAACUGAAUUGAGCUUCUCACAUAAGACACUCUGUCAUCCACAUCCGAUCUCUGUUUCUCGACUCCGUAAUAAACCUUCGAACCUCAACGAUUCAAACUUUCUGACAAUUCUGAGCAGUCUUUACUCUGACAUUGAUCUGACAACUGUAAACACUGAUUUCCGAGCUGACUUCGGACUUGCGAUUUUCUGAUUUCUGAUCUCAUCCCAACCGACUGAAAUCCUGUACAUUCUGCCCUGUACUGAUUAAAAGGAAACUAUCUGACUGAUCUGCUAAAACUGGGAACCUCUGGUCAAGAUCUAAUAUAACUCUGACACUGAUCUUGGCAAUCGCAAUCACUGACUACUGUACUGACUUUGGCCUGAAAUCUUCUUCACUUUCUUUUCACCACUGAAAUUCUGUACCCUCUUCUAUAACACUGCUUAAGAAAGAACCCUCUGAAAACUCUGCCAAACUUAUAAUCUCUGAGCUAGAUUCAAAAUAUAAUUCAUCCCCGGCACUCCAUGCCGGCUAAUUAUCUGAUGCACACACACUUCGGUAUACCCACUCUGAUAAGAUAGAAUCUUCAAUUUCUGAAAUCGAACUUAGAUUGGCGGUUAAUUUCAUUCCGACACGUUUUUUAGUGUGACCUAGGCUACUGGGUAGUGUUCAGAGCUUUUUAGGACAAAUGACUCGUGGUCGAUUUUCUUCGAGCCACAAUAAACCCACUCGACCCAUUGGCGACUCUCAAUUGUCGUGAAAAUCUCAAAGAUUCAAAUACGGACACAGGGCGCCAAAACGAUAGAAACAUCAAAUUAGUGUCGGUCGAUGAGAAUUUUCCAAUUUAGUGGAGUCACCCACGAUCGGUCAUUCAUCUCAGUCGAACCGAUCUAUCUUUGAUUUCAAAUCGGGUUUUAUACUGUGCCGCAAUGAUCUCUAAAGAUGAGCACGGUCGAGAAGUCGAUCCAUGGUCGAAUUCUCAAGUCUAUUUGCCUUAAGGUCCUUAAUAACUCACCCAGCUAGUCUAGUUAUCUCAUGAGUGGCCAACUCAGAGAAAAACACUGUAAUCGCGUCGAUGAAAUGCCCAAUUUAUCUAAUCGAAAUCAGCGCCCGACAUCAGGAUGUCACACACUCAAAACAAGAUCUAUUCG